RNAcentral lists this ribosomal RNA (1333 nucleotides) under uncultured bacterium. Its description in RNAcentral is "bacterial SSU rRNA". It matches the Rfam family "Bacterial small subunit ribosomal RNA", at positions 28 to 1382 of the family's 1533-position model. The record is from RNAcentral.
GACGAACGCUGGCGGCGCGCCUAACACAUGCAAGUCGAACGAGCGAGAGAGAGCUUGCUUUCUCGAGCGAGUGGCGAACGGGUGAGUAACGCGUGAGGAAUCUGCCUCAAAGAGGGGGACAACAGUUGGAAACGACUGCUAAUACCGCAUAAGCCCACGGUGCCGCAUGGCACAGAGGGAAAAGGAGUAAUCCGCUUUGAGAUGGCCUCGCGUCCGAUUAGCUAGUUGGUGAGGUAACGGCCCACCAAGGCGACGAUCGGUAGCCGGACUGAGAGGUUGAACGGCCACAUUGGGACUGAGACACGGCCCAGACUCCUACGGGAGGCAGCAGUGGGGAAUAUUGCACAAUGGGGGAAACCCUGAUGCAGCGACGCCGCGUGGAGGAAGAAGGUCUUCGGAUUGUAAACUCCUGUCGUUGGGGAAGAUAAUGACGGUACCCAACAAGGAAGUGACGGCUAACUACGUGCCAGCAGCCGCGGUAAAACGUAGGUCACAAGCGUUGUCCGGAAUUACUGGGUGUAAAGGGAGCGCAGGCGGGAAGACAAGUUGGAAGUGAAAUCUAUGGGCUCAACCCAUAAACUGCUUUCAAAACUGUUUUUCUUGAGUAGUGCAGAGGUAGGCGGAAUUCCCGGUGUAGCGGUGGAAUGCGUAGAUAUCGGGAGGAACACCAGUGGCGAAGGCGGCCUACUGGGCACCAACUGACGCUGAGGCUCGAAAGUGUGGGUAGCAAACAGGAUUAGAUACCCUGGUAGUCCACACCGUAAACGAUGAUUACUAGGUGUUGGAGGAUUGACCCCUUCAGUGCCGCAGUUAACACAAUAAGUAAUCCACCUGGGGAGUACGACCGCAAGGUUGAAACUCAAAGGAAUUGACGGGGGCCCGCACAAGCAGUGGAGUAUGUGGUUUAAUUCGACGCAACGCGAAGAACCUUACCAAGUCUUGACAUCCCUUGACAGACAUAGAAAUAUGUUUUCUCUUCGGAGCAAGGAGACAGGUGGUGCAUGGUUGUCGUCAGCUCGUGUCGUGAGAUGUUGGGUUAAGUCCCGCAACGAGCGCAACCCUUAUGGUCAGUUACUACGCAAGAGGACUCUGGCCAGACUGCCGUUGACAAAACGGAGGAAGGUGGGGAUGACGUCAAAUCAUCAUGCCCUUUAUGACUUGGGCUACACACGUACUACAAUGGCGUUAAACAAAGAGGAGCAGGACCGCGAGGUGGAGCAAAACUCAGAAACAACGUCCCAGUUCGGACUGCAGGCUGCAACUCGCCUGCACGAAGUCGGAAUUGCUAGUAAUCGUGGAUCAGCAUGCCACGGUGAAUACGUUCCCGGGCCUU